UUCCAUGAAGAAAUCAAAGUUGAACCUCCUCUGAUACAGCUUGAUUCCUUUUGCUCUCAUUCUGCCACUGGUUGCCUGGGAGAAGAGGCCAACCCCCACUUGGCCCCAGUCUCAUCUCAGGUAGUUGCAGAGAGCAAUAACAUCUCUCCUGAACAUCCUUUUUUUCCAGGCUGAACACCCCCAGCUCUCUCAGAUUCUCAGCUCAUAACCAUGUGUGGAGCUGCUUCAUUUCAUUCCAUAAUCCAAGGAGGCACAACACACCUGUACAUUCCUGUAUUUCUUGCAGUCUAAGAUAUCCCUUUGAUCCACAAAGUAGAUUUGGACAUCAGAUAUACAGUCAGCAUGUGGGACAAUUUUCCUACAAACUGGCCACAUUCACAGUCAUGACUAGUCUGUUGGAUCUCCAGAGAUCAAAAUGAAAUAUAUCCAAAGUCUGCAUUGUUUUUCUACGCCCUAGACUGCAAGCAAAGUAGUCUUUGAGCCAAACUUCCUUAAAGUUGACAGGACACCAGACUUGAGUCAUCUGGGCACCAGACUGGAUCCAACUCCAGUAGCUGGAGAUGAAGACAAAUCUUUUUAAUUUAUCAUAGGAGAGAUUAAAAGGUGCUGAUCAAAGUCUAAGCACUACUGUCUUUGUCUGGGCUACCAUGAUUAUUUCAGUUAAGCUGCCACUCACUGGCACCUCAAUAUAACUUCUUUUUUGAUUCUCUCCAAAUAUGAAACACAAAUAAGCAGAACUUGUACAAGGUGACAGGGGUUUGUUUUGUUUUAUAUUGCGUUUCAUAUUUUUUUAAAGAAUAAUAAUCAAGAGAGUGGAGUCUGUAUUUCUUACAGUCAAUGCACAGGGUCUUCUGUUUUUGCUCCAGUGCCCUGGUUUUGUCCAUGCCCUUGCUUGGCAGGAGGGAGCAGCUCUCCUCUUAGAGCAGUGAGGAGGCUUGGCUGGCUCAAAGAGAAACCACUACGGUCUAGGCUGGGACACGACCAUCUGCAAACCCUCACUGCCCUCCUGGCUGGAGGCAGCAGUGGCAGGGAGAAGGUCUAUAGGGUGGAAAGGGAGGAGAAACCCUUUAGCCAUCCAAACAACCAGCAGCAAGGGCUACAGGAAUGCAUAUCACACCUUUGCUGGCUAUGGCUAUUAUUCAAGUGGUUUGAACAGAUGGAUGACAAACACCAUGAAGUAAAGAGCACAGAGCAGAACAGCCAAAUGCUGUCUGAGGUACACAUUCCUGCAGGAGACAGGCAGCCCAAGCCUGCAGUCCCUCUUAGGACUCCCACAGGACCAUGAAGCCAGACCAAAGGAAGGACAGGCUGUUCUAGAAGAUUUCUAUAUACCAGGUUUAAAAUGGAGAAGCAGAUGUAGCUGAGCUUUGGGUAUGAAGGCUUGAGCUUUCCACAAUCCUCUGUACUCUCAUAGCAAUUUCCAGUGCUCCAAGUUAUCGCACAUCAAAAAGAAAAGCAGGUGCAACAAUUCGACAGCCAGGCCACAGCUAGAAUGAAGCCCCAAAGAGGGAAGAGCUGGACCAGCAUCUUCAUGAGGAGUGGCCUUGAAAGUGAAAAUAUUUAAUCCUCCUAAUUUUUAAACUAGUUUCUCUCAGGUUUUUUAACCAUUUUACUAGCUUCAGAGAUUUCUUCAAUUUCAAGGUUAAGAGGUUAGCAAGAUUUGCUCCAGCUGUCUUUUUAUUUUUUUUUUUUAAUAAUACAGGAGUGUGACAUGAGAAACUGAGCACAAAUUUUCUAUAAUUAAGACAGGAAACCUCCUGAAACUAGUCAAGUUUCAAAAGCAAAUAUAUAUUUAAGCACAAUCACAGUAUUCCAGGAAAAUUUUAAAAGCUUUAAUCAUGAGGAGAGGGUAAAGGCACUUUUAUUUCAGGCAUAGUUCAAGCAUCAUCCAUCUUCCUUCCCUUCCAUAAAGUCAAACGUUCUCAAGUUACAAGUUUUGAAAGAUUUUUCCAAGUCUCCAUUUUCCUUGGAGCUUAAUGCUGUCUUUAAUCAAGGCUUCCUUGGGGAGCUCUACAGCCUAUUCUACAGUCCUUGUAAUCAGCAUUAUUUCUAGUUAGUCACUUUUCCAGCUUCAGUAGUAGAAAUCAAGAAUCAUUUUCAAAUUUAUGAUUGCAUCAAAAAUAGAAUUUAAUUUAAAAUUAUUUAAUUUUUCACGUUAACUCAGCUGAAUUUUCCUAGCAAAUACGGUAACCAAAGUUCCGCUACUAAGACUCUUUCUAGGAGGAAUGCGCUUCCUUUGCUGCAGAGAAUUCUGGACAAUAUUUUUUUUAAAGUCAAA
This is a long non-coding RNA of Passer domesticus (house sparrow), 2278 nucleotides long. RefSeq lists it as uncharacterized. NCBI's taxonomy places the organism in Eukaryota, Metazoa, Chordata, Aves, Passeriformes, Passeridae. The record is from RefSeq and is a predicted model, not a curated record. The transcript has 3 exons.